This 939-nucleotide ribosomal RNA is filed under the name Triticum aestivum (bread wheat). RNAcentral's name for it is "partial small subunit ribosomal RNA". The record is from RNAcentral. Lineage: Eukaryota; Viridiplantae; Streptophyta; Magnoliopsida; Poales; Poaceae.
AUGCACAAGCGUUCCAAAUCCUGCGAGCCGUCCAGGAACGAGCAGCGCGGCGGCGUCCAUGGGGCCACGGCCUCCGACGACUCGAUCACGGGAAAGGUGGCGUCGUCGUCCUCGGCGACGGCGCAGUGCUCCACGAUGACGGUGUACCUCGUCAGGAUCAACGGCACCGAGCACCUCGUCACCGCCGUCUGGAACAAGAACAUCAUCAACCAGUCCUUCACCAUCACUAUCGAUCGCCACGGCGACGGCGCCGGCGGCGGGGCCGACGACGGAACGCUCAGCCUCAAGGUGGAGCUGAAGCCGUGGCCGUUCUGGAGCAAGAAGGGUCUCAAGAGCUUCUUCCUCGACGGCCACCGCCUGGACAUCUUCUGGGACCUCCGGUCGGCCAAGUUCCCGGCGAGCAGCCCGGAGCCGGCUAGCGGCUACUUCGUCGCGCUGGUGAGCCAGGAGCAGGUGGUGCUCACGCUCGGCGACCUCAAGAAGGACGCGUACAAGCGGAGCAAGUGCCGGCCGUCGCUGGAGGACGCCGUGCCGUUGUGCCGCCGGGAGACCGUCUUCGGCAGGCGAAGCUUCGUGGCGCGGGCGUGGCUCGACAACAGCAGGAAAGAUCACGACAUUGUCAUCGAGGCCUCGCUAGCCGGGCCAAGGGAACCAGAAAUGGCGAUCACGGUGGACGGCCGCGCCCUGGUGCAGGUCAAGAACCUUCAGUGGAAGUUCCGGGGCAACCAGACGGUGCUCGUCGACCAGUCGCCGGUGCAGGUGCUCUGGGACGUGCACGACUGGAUCUUCGCCGGCCCGGGCUCCCAGGCGGUCUUCGCCUUCAAGCCGGGUGCUCCGCCGGAGGUCGACAGCGACGAGGCCGGGUUGGAGAGCGGGAGAGGCAUUCCCGGUGACCCGGCGGAUUACAGCUUCUUUCUUCAUGCAUGGAAGACGGACUGA